This is a long non-coding RNA of Apis laboriosa (Himalayan honeybee), 4088 nucleotides long. RefSeq lists it as uncharacterized. NCBI's taxonomy places the organism in Eukaryota, Metazoa, Arthropoda, Insecta, Hymenoptera, Apidae. The record is from RefSeq and is a predicted model, not a curated record. The transcript has 7 exons.
AACAGGAAUAGUCGGAUCAGGAACAAAGACGAAUAAUCGCUUCUAAUAUAAUAAUAGCCGAUGCGUGUAUCGGCCUAGGGCUAUUUUUUUAUACUGUUCGGUCCAUCCUAACUUUAAACGCCGGAAGCAGGAGCAACGUGCUGGUACCUAAAUAGUUCGUCGAAAAAGGAGCCUAAGGCUUCGAUGAAUCUCUCACGAUAGUAACUCCCUCUACAUAUUUCUAAUCCUUGACACUUUAACAAGAUACGAUAUAUCAAACGUUAUUACCUACGAUAAAUAUUCCUUGCAAGAAGAAGAAGAACUGCCAUAAAUUAAGAUCUUCUGAACAAUUUGUUAUUAUUAAUAACAAACAAAACUGAAAUAGUGGAAAUAAUUCUAAAGUUAUGAAGAGUAAUUGAAACAAUAUCGUCUCGAACGAUGUUAACCUCAAAGAUUAUUUGGAAAUCGAAGAAACGCUUCUACAGGUUAGGAUGACGUGGUCAUGGGUUAGCCGGAGGUUACUUCGGAGCUCAUCGACUCGCUAUUGGCAAAUCGCGACUUGGAGGAGCCAGCGGCGGCUUCGUGUCCUCUGGCAAGGAAAAGAAACCGAUAUUAAUGAAGGAAGAGAGGAGAACAACUUUCACGCGACCACGAGGCUUCUUCGUAUCGGAAUGCAUCUGUGCGUCUCCCCGAGGGAAAGAAGAUCCCUUACCCGUUUUAAUUGCAAAUUUCUCCUGUCUGAUCUUCUUGCAAAUUGUUCAACGGAACUAGUCAAACCAUUACCAUUAAGGGCUCCUGUGAUCAACACUGAAUUUCUAACGAAGAUCAUCUAUUCUUUGAAAAUAAUUUUUAUUUUUUUCUUUUUUUUAAGUUAUAUAACAUAUUUUUUUUAUUUGAUUCAGGUAUAAUAGUAGAUGUGGAUUGUACAUCGAAUGAAAAAGAGGUUAUGUUAAAGAGAUCUUUGUUGCAAAAGCCGACUCUUGAACGAGAUGUAAUGAACUUCAAUUAUGACGCUGCCGCGUUUCCAUGGGACUGAGACCGCGCAAUAAGCUUUGAAAGUAACUAGUAAAGAAGCCAAGUGAUUCAGUCGUUGAUAUUGUGCGCGGAGAUGCAGAAAACUUUAUGAUGCAAGAACAAAAAUCAUAAAAUAUAUAAGAACGAUUAACUUAAUUAUUCUCCAAUUCCAAAAAAUAUUUUGGCGUAAGUAAUAAGCGGGGAGAAGAUAAUUGUGACGAUUAUUCGGCGUCAAAUUGAAUCGACAAGUUCAUGGUCACGGCAGCUCCAGUGCCAUGAGCCCGAGAAAAGAGAAACAGAUACCGAAAACGGUACCGGACACGAACGGUGCGUACGGCAGGUGGAUGACGCAAGCGGGAUGACUUUACUCGUGGUUAUCCCUUCCCAAAAGUAAAAUUUCUCUCUCCCAGAGGGACUUUACAGCUGACAUCUCGCAUCUUUCUAUCUUCCAAACUCUCUCAUUUGCCAAUCUCUGAUGUCAACUUUCAAUAGACAGAUACAUAUGUUGUACAACCAUACAUCUUUACACAAAUUAUUUUGCGUUUCAAUAUAUUUAAAUUAAGAUCAUGUUACUUAUAUUGGCAAUUAUAACUUAAUCUAUGUGACUAGAUUAUAUUUUUACAAUUAAUCGAUUUUACACUUUAUUCUAUUGUCAUUGAUACAACUAUGCUGAAUAAUUCAAGAUAACCGAAAAAGAUAUGAAAGCUGGAAAUCUAUUAAUAGAUUUUUCUAAGCCGACCAACAUCGAUGGCGACACACUGAUCGAAUAUCGCGCGCCAUGUCUGCCAGAAUUUAUUGUUUCGCUAUCGAGCCGUCCACGAUCUACUUUGAUAAUUACGUACCGUGUAAAACGAUAUUAAAGGGAUAGCGUUUCACGAGCGUAGCAGGUGAUAAGUAUCCUCUUACACGAAUUGAUAAAUUAUCCAACUUGAUAAGGAGAGAAAAUGUGCCAAGAUGGAAACUCUGAGAUAGUUCAACAAGUCUUUUUCUUUUGGAAGUCAAGAUAUGAUUAGAAACUUGGUUCAUUUAAAUAAGUACAAUAGUGAUUUAUCUUGUGUGAUAAGAAAAAAAAAUUUUGAAAAAUGAUGAAAUUCUAGUAUUAUGGUAAGGUUAUUUGUCGCUUUCUGUUAGUCCAUGCGAAUAGGUAUGCGAAAAGAUAUACUUAUUGUUGAAGCGUGUUCAUAAACUGCGACCCAGUAAAACUAAUAAAUCUGUGAAUACGCUUAAUUAAUGCGCCACGGCGGAAUAACGCGGCUAAAUGAUCAACGAUGCGCGGAGUUAAUGACGCUAAUGAGACAGUUUUAGCCAUAUAAUCUAAUUUCAUAGAAUCAGUAAAAUUUUUGAGAGUUUUGGAAAGCGAAGGAAAGCAAGUUCUCAAGAAAUGUUUAAUUAAACACCAAGUUUUUAAAGUAUACUUUCAAUUUCACCGAGUUUGUUUUAACGUUGACAGUGACACGCAUCGCAAUUGCGUUGAUGAUGGUAAUGCUUCAAGAAGGAAGAGACACGCGACGCGGAGGAAACGAGGAAACGUCUCUGGUGAAAGCUUUUUAGACGAAGGAACAAAGAGACGAGGCAAUAAUGCCUCGAAAUGCCGCAGCGUUCACCGCACUGUACGAUUCUGAUCUGCAUCUGCCCGGUUAUUACUCCUAAAUUACGCAUUGCCGGAGAAAUUUCAUACGUUGUGGCAACUUAAUGUCAUUAUUCCGAAGUACAAACUCUUCUCACGGAAGAAUACGACUGAUAAUGUGAUUGUAAAAGACUCGAAACGAGUAACAAGUUACGUUCGAUUAAAAUACCUCACUUUGACAGAUUGAUUUUUUUAAAAGUUAUAGAAUCAUAUUGAAUUGGAAUAUAAGAAAUAAUAUAAUAUAAAGAAAAUAUUCUAUAAAAUAAAUCGGAGAGUAAAUUUUUAAAUUUAAAAAAAAAAGAAAUAUCGAUACGAGCGUGUUAUUUACAGUCAACAAAAUCAACAAUUUGAUUUUUCUUUUUUUGAAAAAUUGCGAUUCUAUUCUAAGCUAAGAGAGAAGAAAAGAAUCGGGAAGAGAUGAAGAAUUUUUUUUCACACGAAAAAAUUAUUAAUUAUAAAAAAAUUAUUAAUCUAAAAUUAAAAAGCUUCGAAUUUGAAUUUUACUUCUAACGCGCCACAGUUAUUCGCCACAUGUAUGACAAUAAAAUAAUAAUACGAGGUGUUGUUGCGUGACAAGUCGUUCGCUCCGAUUAAGUUUUAACACGGCACGUUAGAAAUAAAUGCGCGCAUUGUCGAUCAGGUGCGCACAACCUUGGCCGUAUUACGAUUUAUUUUAGUUGAUCGUUGAAAAGAAUGGAGACACGGGUUAAUCGGCGUAAAUUGUACGUGAAUGCGUGGAUUCGCGUAAUUAAGAGGAUGCAUGAACCAACGCGCGUGUUACGAUCCGUGCGUCAGAAGAGAAAGGAUUUUACUUGAUAAAACGAGCGGACCGCAAAAGGAGGCUGGCUUUAUUGCAAGCCACCGCUCUCACGGUCGGUAAAAACGACCCGCUCUCGCUUUACAAUACGAUGAAUAAUUGAUUUGCAGUUUCACUCUUUCGUGGAUUACGUAACAAUAAGGGAGGAUAAUUUAAUUACUUGUGGAUAAUCGUAACAUGACCAGUGGCGUUUAGAUCGUCCCGUAAAAACAAAAAUGGCAAACUUUCACUCACGGAUGGCUCGGAUUUUUGUCCAGAUAAUCGUGCCAUUUUUACUUUUUUUUUACAUAUAAAAGACAAAAAGAGAGAAAUUUUACAGUUAAAAAGAAAAUCUUACGUCAUUCAUUACGUGUCUCAAAAUAGAAAUAAAGAUUUUUCAUAAGAACAAUUUACUUGUCAAUGUGAAAAAUUCCCUCAAAAAAAAGAAGAAAAAAAAAAUCCUUCAAAGUUUCACUCUCGAUAAAGUACUCGUCAUCUUAAAUAAUAUUUUAGGAAAAAAGUUUAAUAGUCUGGAUUAGUUUCAUAUCGCAAUUUGGAAGAACAAAUUACAUCGCGACUUUUUUAGCCACUUUAGUACUUGACACAAUAACGUGACGGAAAUCGUCACACCAGCAAUAAAAUAAAGUCGUGCUUUACGCCUUUUAAACCGGC